Molecule: ribosomal RNA, 1713 nt
Filed under: Enterobacter bugandensis
Lineage: Bacteria; Pseudomonadati; Pseudomonadota; Gammaproteobacteria; Enterobacterales; Enterobacteriaceae
Description: partial 23S ribosomal RNA
Rfam family: Bacterial large subunit ribosomal RNA
Source: RNAcentral
GAAGGUGUGCUGUGAGGCAUGCUGGAGGUAUCAGAAGUGCGAAUGCUGACAUAAGUAACGAUAAAGCGGGUGAAAAGCCCGCUCGCCGGAAGACCAAGGGUUCCUGUCCAACGUUAAUCGGGGCAGGGUGAGUCGACCCCUAAGGCGAGGCCGAAAGGCGUAGUCGAUGGGAAACAGGUUAAUAUUCCUGUACUUGGUGUUACUGCGAAGGGGGGACGGAGAAGGCUAUGUCAGCCGGGCGACGGUUGUCCCGGUUUAAGCGUGUAGGUGUGUGUUCCAGGCAAAUCCGGUUCACUUUAACACUGAGGCGUGAUGACGAGGCACUACGGUGCUGAAGUGAUAAAUGCCCUGCUUCCAGGAAAAGCCUCUAAGCAUCAGGUAACACGAAAUCGUACCCCAAACCGACACAGGUGGUCAGGUAGAGAAUACCAAGGCGCUUGAGAGAACUCGGGUGAAGGAACUAGGCAAAAUGGUGCCGUAACUUCGGGAGAAGGCACGCUGAUAUGUAGGUGAAGCCCCUGCGGGCGGAGCUGAAAUCAGUCGAAGAUACCAGCUGGCUGCAACUGUUUAUUAAAAACACAGCACUGUGCAAACACGAAAGUGGACGUAUACGGUGUGACGCCUGCCCGGUGCCGGAAGGUUAAUUGAUGGGGUUAGCGGCAACGCGAAGCUCUUGAUCGAAGCCCCGGUAAACGGCGGCCGUAACUAUAACGGUCCUAAGGUAGCGAAAUUCCUUGUCGGGUAAGUUCCGACCUGCACGAAUGGCGUAAUGAUGGCCAGGCUGUCUCCACCCGAGACUCAGUGAAAUUGAACUCGCUGUGAAGAUGCAGUGUACCCGCGGCAAGACGGAAAGACCCCGUGAACCUUUACUAUAGCUUGACACUGAACACUGGUCCUUGAUGUGUAGGAUAGGUGGGAGGCUUUGAAGCGUGGACGCCAGUCUGCGUGGAGCCGUCCUUGAAAUACCACCCUUUAAUGGCUGGUGUUCUAACGUGGACCCGUAAUCCGGGUUGCGGACAGUGUCUGGUGGGUAGUUUGACUGGGGCGGUCUCCUCCCAAAGAGUAACGGAGGAGCACGAAGGUUAGCUAAUCCUGGUCGGACAUCAGGAGGUUAGUGCAAUGGCAUAAGCUAGCUUGACUGCGAGAGUGACGGCUCGAGCAGGUGCGAAAGCAGGUCAUAGUGAUCCGGUGGUUCUGAAUGGAAGGGCCAUCGCUCAACGGAUAAAAGGUACUCCGGGGAUAACAGGCUGAUACCGCCCAAGAGUUCAUAUCGACGGCGGUGUUUGGCACCUCGAUGUCGGCUCAUCACAUCCUGGGGCUGAAGUAGGUCCCAAGGGUAUGGCUGUUCGCCAUUUAAAGUGGUACGCGAGCUGGGUUUAGAACGUCGUGAGACAGUUCGGUCCCUAUCUGCCGUGGGCGCUGGAGAAUUGAGGGGGGCUGCUCCUAGUACGAGAGGACCGGAGUGGACGCAUCACUGGUGUUCGGGUUGUCAUGCCAAUGGCACUGCCCGGUAGCUAAAUGCGGAAGAGAUAAGUGCUGAAAGCAUCUAAGCACGAAACUUGCCCCGAGAUGAGUUCUCCCUGAGACUUUAAGUCUCCUGAAGGAACGUUGAAGACGACGACGUUGAUAGGCCGGGUGUGUAAGCGCAGCGAUGCGUUGAGCUAACCGGUACUAAUGAACCGUGAGGCUUAACCUUACAACGCCGAAGCUGUU